CAAAUCAGUGUGGGAGAGAGUGGAGAGGGUGGAGAGAGAGUGUGUGGAUGCGAAAGCAUACAUGCACAUUUCCCACUUUCAAUUCCCCUCCCCGUUUUACGCUUGUAGAGUUUGACAGAGUUAUUGUGACACAUUAACGUAUA
RNAcentral lists this unclassified non-coding RNA (143 nucleotides) under uncultured fungus. RNAcentral's name for it is "sequence contains ITS1, 5.8S rRNA gene". The record is from RNAcentral. Lineage: Eukaryota; Fungi.